RNAcentral lists this ribosomal RNA (2485 nucleotides) under Sinomonas sp. ASV322. RNAcentral describes it as "partial 23S ribosomal RNA". It matches the Rfam family "Bacterial large subunit ribosomal RNA", at positions 593 to 2925 of the family's 2925-position model. The record is from RNAcentral. Lineage: Bacteria; Bacillati; Actinomycetota; Actinomycetes; Micrococcales; Micrococcaceae.
GUGAUGGCGUGCCUUUUGAAGAAUGAGCCUGCGAGUUAGUGCCGUGUCGCGAGGUUAACCCGUGUGGGGGAGCCGCAGCGAAAGCGAGUCUGAACAGGGCGUUCAGUGGCGCGGUCUAGACCCGAAGCGGGGUGAUCUACCCAUGGCCAGGUUGAAGCGACGGUAAGACGUCGUGGAGGACCGAACCCACUUCAGUUGAAAAUGGAGGGGAUGAGCUGUGGGUAGGGGUGAAAGGCCAAUCAAACCCCGUGAUAGCUGGUUCUCCCCGAAAUGCAUUUAGGUGCAGCGUUGCGUGUUCCUUGCCGGAGGUAGAGCUACUGGAUGGCCGAUGGGCCCGACCAGGUUACUGACGUCAGCCAAACUCCGAAUGCCGGCAAGACAGAGCGCAGCAGUGAGACCGCGGGGGAUAAGCUCCGUGGUCGAGAGGGAAACAGCCCAGACCGCCGGCUAAGGCCCCCAAGCGUGUGCUAAGUGGGAAAGGAUGUGGAGUCGCAGAGACAACCAGGAGGUUGGCUUAGAAGCAGCCACCCUUGAAAGAGUGCGUAAUAGCUCACUGGUCAAGUGAUUCCGCGCCGACAAUGUAGCGGGGCUCAAGCACACCGCCGAAGCCGCGGCAGCCCCACAUCGCCCAAGCCGUCAUUGGUUCAGGGGUGGGGCUGGGUAGGGGAGCGUCGUGCGGGCAGCGAAGCCGCCGGGUGACCGAGCGGUGGAGCCCGCACGAGUGAGAAUGCAGGCAUGAGUAGCGAAAGACGGGUGGGAAACCCGUCCGCCGGAUGAUCAAGGGUUCCAGGGUCAAGCUAAUCUGCCCUGGGUGAGUCGGGACCUAAGGCGAGGCCGACAGGCGUAGUCGAUGGACAACGGGCCGAUAUUCCCGUACCGGCGAAGGACCGCCAAUGCCGGAGGGCCGAUGCUAACCAACGGAUCGCCCGCCCGGGCGCCCUUCGGGGCGGCCGGCGGGGGUGAGCGUGGGAUACCGAGGCCCCGAGGCAAGCGCAUUAACAGGUGUGACGCAGGAAGGCAGCCCGGCCAGGCGAUGGUUGACCUGGUCCAAGGACGUAGGGCGAACGGCAGGCAAAUCCGCCGUUCACGAGCCUGAGAUCCGACGGGACCCCCGCGAGGGGGGAUCGGGUGAUCCUAUGCUGCCGAGAAAAGCAUCGGCGCGAGGUCCGAGCCGCCCGUACCCCAAACCGACACAGGUGAUCAGGUAGAGAAUACCAAGGCGAUCGAGAGAAUCGCGGUCAAGGAACUCGGCAAAAUGCCCCCGUAACUUCGGGAGAAGGGGGACCCCCACCCUGAACAGGACACGCGCCUGGGAGGGGGGAGGGGUCGCAGAGACCAGGGGGAAGCGACUGUUUACUAAAAACACAGGUCCGUGCGAAGUCGCAAGACGAUGUAUACGGACUGACUCCUGCCCGGUGCUGGAAGGUCAAGAGGACCCGUCAACCUGCGAGGGUGAAGCGGAGAAUUCAAGCCCCAGUAAACGGCGGUGGUAACUAUAACCAUCCUAAGGUAGCGAAAUUCCUUGUCGGGUAAGUUCCGACCUGCACGAAUGGAGUAACGACUUCCCCGCUGUCUCGACCGCGAACUCGGCGAAAUUGCACUACGAGUAAAGAUGCUCGUUACGCGCAGCAGGACGGAAAGACCCCGAGACCUUCACUACAGUUUGGUAUUGGUGUCCGGAGCGGCUUGUGUAGGAUAGGUGGGAGACUGCGAGGCGGGCACGCCAGUGCCCGCGGAGUCGCCGUUGAAAUACCACUCUGGUCGCUUUGGGCAUCUCAACCUCGGCCCGUGAUCCGGGCCAGGGACAGUGCCUGACGGGUAGUUUAACUGGGGCGGUUGCCUCCCAAAGGGUAACGGAGGCGCCCAAAGGUCCCCUCAGCCUGGUCGGCAACCAGGUGGCGAGUGCAAGUGCACAAGGGGGCUUGACUGCGAGAGAGGCAUCUCGAGCAGGGACGAAAGUCGGGACUAGUGAUCCGGCGGCACCUCGUGGAAGGGCCGUCGCUCAACGGAUAAAAGGUACCUCGGGGAUAACAGGCUGAUCUUGCCCAAGAGUCCAUAUCGACGGCAUGGUUUGGCACCUCGAUGUCGGCUCGUCGCAUCCUGGGGCUGGAGUAGGUCCCAAGGGUUGGGCUGUUCGCCCAUUAAAGCGGUACGCGAGCUGGGUUUAGAACGUCGUGAGACAGUUCGGUCCCUAUCCGCUGCGCGCGCAGGAGAUCUGAGAAGGGCUGUCCUCAGUACGAGAGGACCGGGACGGACGAACCUCUGGUGUGGCAGUUGUACCGCCAGGUGCACCGCUGCUUGGCCACGUUCGGAUGGGAUAACCGCUGAAAGCAUCUAAGCGGGAAGCCCGCUUCAAGAUGAGAUCUCCAAACACGCAAGUGUUGAAGGCCCCCAGCAGACCACUGGGUUGAUAGGCCGGACGUGGAAGCAGGGACCAACGACCUGCGAAGCCGACCGGUACUAAUAGGCCGACAACCUCAACCAC